Molecule: transfer RNA, 72 nt
Filed under: Pangasianodon hypophthalmus (striped catfish)
Lineage: Eukaryota; Metazoa; Chordata; Actinopteri; Siluriformes; Pangasiidae
Rfam family: tRNA
About the family: Transfer RNA (tRNA) molecules are approximately 80 nucleotides in length. Their secondary structure includes four short double-helical elements and three loops (D, anti-codon, and T loops).
Source: Rfam by way of RNAcentral
UCCCUGGAGGACUAGUGGUCAGGCCACAGCUCUCUCACCGUUGUGGCCUGGGUUCGAUUCCCAGCCAGGGAA